GCGCCUGUAGCUCAGUGGUAGAGCGGUCGACUGCAGUAAAAAAAGUUCAUCGUCAGGUCCCUGGUUCAAACCCGGGCGGGCGCU
Molecule: non-coding RNA, 84 nt
Organism: Microbotryomycetes sp. JL201
Lineage: Eukaryota; Fungi; Basidiomycota; Microbotryomycetes
Source: the annotation of a GenBank genome assembly